AGACCCGAAACCCGGUGAUCUAGCCAUGGGCAGGUUGAAGGUUGGGUAACACUAACUGGAGGACCGAACCGACUAAUGUUGAAAAAUUAGCGGAUGACCUGUGGCUGGGGGUGAAAGGCCAAUCAAACCGGGAGAUAGCUGGUUCUCCCCGAAAGCUAUUUAGGUAGCGCCUCGUGAAUUCAUCUCCGGGGGUAGAGCACUGUUUCGGCUAGGGGGCCAUCCCGGCUUACCAACCCGAUGCAAACUGCGAAUACCGGAGAAUGUUAUCACGGGAGACACACGGCGGGUGCUAACGUCCGUCGUGAAGAGGGAAACAACCCAGACCGCCAGCUAAGGUCCCAAAGUCAUGGUUAAGUGGGAAACGAUGUGGGAAGGCCCAGACAGCCAGGAUGUUGGCUUAGAAGCAGCCAUCAUUUAAAGAAAGCGUAAUAGCUCACUGGUCGAGUCGGCCUGCGCGGAAGAUGUAACGGGGCUAAACCAUGCACCGAAGCUGCGGCAGCGAACGUAUCACCCAAGACAACUUUACGGAGUUGACGAUUGACGGAGCGAAGCGACGUCAAAGCGUUCAUUAAAGUCGAGUUGGCUUAGGGAUACGUUCGUUGGGUAGGGGAGCGUUCUGUAAGCCUGUGAAGGUGUGUCGUGAGGCAUGCUGGAGGUAUCAGAAGUGCGAAUGCUGACAUAAGUAACGAUAAAGCGGGUGAAAAGCCCGCUCGCCGGAAGACCAAGGGUUCCUGUCCAACGUUAAUCGGGGCAGGGUGAGUCGACCCCUAAGGCGAGGCCGAAAGGCGUAGUCGAUGGGAAACGGGUUAAUAUUCCCGUACUUGGUGUUACUGCGAAGGGGGGACGGAGAAGGCUAUGUUGGCCGGGCGACGGUUGUCCCGGUUUAAGCGUGUAGGUGUGUGUUCCAGGUAAAUCCGGUUCACUUUAACACUGAGGCGUGACGACGAGGCACUACGGUGCUGAAGCAACAAAUGCCCUGCUUCCAGGAAAAGCCUCUAAGCAUCAGGUAACACGAAAUCGUACCCCAAACCGACACAGGUGGUCAGGUAGAG
This 1052-nucleotide ribosomal RNA is filed under the name Salmonella enterica subsp. enterica serovar Typhimurium. Its description in RNAcentral is "partial 23S ribosomal RNA". It matches the Rfam family "Bacterial large subunit ribosomal RNA", at positions 711 to 1676 of the family's 2925-position model. Lineage: Bacteria; Pseudomonadati; Pseudomonadota; Gammaproteobacteria; Enterobacterales; Enterobacteriaceae. The record is from RNAcentral.